Molecule: ribosomal RNA, 484 nt
Filed under: uncultured bacterium
Lineage: Bacteria
Description: partial 16S ribosomal RNA
Rfam family: Bacterial small subunit ribosomal RNA
Source: RNAcentral
AUUGAACGCUGGCGGCAGGCCUAACACAUGCAAGUCGAGCGGAUGAAGGGAGCUUACUCCUGGAUUCAGCGGCGGACGGGUGAGUAAUGCCUAGGAAUCUGCCUGGUAGUGGGGGAUAACGUCCGGAAACGGGCGCUAAUACCGCAUACGUCCUGAGGGAGAAAGUGGGGGAUCUUCGGACCUCACGCUAUCAGAUGAGCCUAGGUCGGAUUAGCUAGUUGGUGGGGUAAAGGCCUACCAAGGCGACGAUCCGUAGCUGGUCUGAGAGGAUGAUCAGUCACACUGGAACUGAGACACGGUCCAGACUCCUACGGGAGGCAGCAGUGGGGAAUAUUGGACAAUGGGCGAAAGCCUGAUCCAGCCAUGCCGCGUGUGUGAAGAAGGUCUUCGGAUUGUAAAGCACUUUAAGUUGGGAGGAAGGGCAGUAAGUUAAUACCUUGCUGUUUUGACGUUACCAACAGAAUAAGCACCGGCUAACUUCGUG